RNAcentral lists this non-coding RNA (24 nucleotides) under Arabidopsis thaliana (thale cress). The record is from RNAcentral. Lineage: Eukaryota; Viridiplantae; Streptophyta; Magnoliopsida; Brassicales; Brassicaceae.
GGGUCACGAAGUUAUGCCAUGGUC